UGGUAGUUUCUUUAGAAAACACACUUUAAUCAAUAGUUAUAGGCUAUUGUGUUGCAACCAGGGAUGCUGCAAUACCACUAAUUUUAGAGAUAGUUCUGACGGCAUUCAAAUUUGUCUAUAACAAAGCCGAUAACAGUGUUGCCAACUAUUUUCAGUGGGAAGUAGCUAAAGCCUGCAGGAAAAGUCCUGGAUCUCAAUAGAUAACGUCAUGUGCUAAUUUGCAUAUAUAUGAUGGCAUGACUUUAUUACCCUUUAUUACUUUCUCUUCGGUACAGAAAAAAAGAAUUACGGCAACUUCCAGUCUCACUUCAGAUGAUGAUGAAACACAGAUUGACCCAUCACGAGUUCUUCAAACAAAUAAGCCGAAGAUGACAAAGGCUGCAAAAGACCGAGCCCUUGCCCAACUGAAAUCCUCGCUGCUGAGAAGAAAGCAAACAACCUCCACCCCCUUGACAAAUGAAGACGAUACAGACAUAGACACCAAUGUGGACUUAUUUGACCCACCUCAGGCUUCGGGAUCAAGUGACCUCUCCCAAGGGGAAAGUGAAGAGGAGAGUGUCCUGAUGGAUCAGCCCAGAUCCAGUGUUGGCAUGCAACAGGAAGUGAUGGAUGCUCUGAAAGAAAUACCAGCCUUAGUCAAGUGUGUCAAAGAUCUUAUUGCAACCAUGAAGAGAAUGCCACCUGUCAUGGACACUGACAGUACAUGUUCUGGCUCUUCCAGUCCAGCUCCAGAAAUGAUUUCCCUUGGCAACAAGGGGGUGCAGGUCAGCAAAACCUGUUUCAAAAGACUCAACCGAACAAGAAUGUCCCUGUUCACACAGGACUUAGCUGUGCUCCUCUUUGGGCGGGAUGUUUUGGCAUCCUCGACUCUCACAGGAAAACCAGGGCUUACUGGAACAGUGAAAGAGCAGCUAAAUCCGGAAAAGCUGAGUGCCCUUGUUGAUACAGUUAUUGCUGAAUUUCCAGGAACAAAUGUGUCUGAUGUGAGGGCAGUGAUUCAGAGAAAAUGUAACAAUGAGAAUUUUGUGAGCAAAAAGAAACAGUAAGCAGUAAAUCAGUAACUGUUUGUAAUAAUUUCUUGUUUGUUUUUUCUUUGGUGGACAUACAUUUUGAGUUUAAACAAACUGUGUAAAAGUUUAAACAAUCUGUCCACCUAUGUAAAAGUUUCAACAGUCAGUUUAAUGUUUAUUAAUGUUUUCAAAAGUCAGUUUCAGUUUAAUGUUCAUCCCUGUCAUUACUAGAAAUGGUACGAUGAAGAGAAACAGUUUGAAAAUGUUGUUAAAGAUGUAUUUUGUAUCCUGUCAUGCCGUGCAUGUUAAAAAUAAACGUUAUUUCUACCUCAAGUAUGUUCUAAAU
RNAcentral lists this long non-coding RNA (1356 nucleotides) under Gadus morhua (Atlantic cod). RNAcentral describes it as "lncRNA (ENSGMOG00000036508.1)". The record is from RNAcentral. Lineage: Eukaryota; Metazoa; Chordata; Actinopteri; Gadiformes; Gadidae.